Long non-coding RNA from Orcinus orca (killer whale), 10461 nucleotides. RefSeq lists it as uncharacterized. The record is from RefSeq and is a predicted model, not a curated record. The transcript is spliced from 3 exons. NCBI's taxonomy places the organism in Eukaryota, Metazoa, Chordata, Mammalia, Artiodactyla, Delphinidae.
GGCUCCGUGGUCUCAAAACUGGGCUCCACAACACACUAUCCCUCAAGGACCGCCCACCCCGAAGGGCUCAGGCCAGGCUCUGACGGGAGAGCUUGUCCACUGCCCUGAGGCUUAGAGGAGGGAGGAGGGUGCCGGUGGAAGAGUCCCUCAUCCCGGCCCUGUGCGCCAGCCCCAACUGCUCCCCUUUUGGACCCCCUCCAUUCCCAUACCUCCGCCCCUUAGCAGCGCAGACCAGCGGCUCCCAAACUUGAGCGUGCACCAGCAUCACGUGGGGGGCUUGUUAAAACACAGGUUUUAACCUCACCGCCAGCGUUCCUAAUUCAAUACGUCGGGGGUGGUUCUUAGCCCUGGCUAAAGUUAGAAUCACCUGGGGAGUGUUUUGAACACUAUUGAUCUCUAUACACAACCCAAACCAAUUAAGUCAGCUUCCCUGGGAGCCGGGGGCGUGAGUGCUUUCCAAAGGAUGGCAUUCUAAGAGCUCCUCCACUUUUAUUUGUUUCUUAUUUCUGCAACCUUUCUGAUUGUUUACGAAUCUCUCACUAAUUACUAACUGUGGGCCUCUAAGGGCAGGGUUGUAUUUUACUCUAGUUAGUACCAGGUCAGGGCACCUGACUCAUAGGACAGUCCAGUUGGCAGCAUUUGCUUUGGGGCUGGCAUGGAUAGUUCAGUGAGAAGUGGGACAAGGCCCACCAGACCUCUGAGAAGGGUGGGAAAACAUGAGGGGUGGGGGGCUGGGGGAAAGGUAGGGGAGUAGAGAAGAAGGAGAAGAUAUGGGGGAGAGGGCUGUUUAUCAACCCCUGAUUUUCCACAGCUAAUUUCACACUUCAGGGAUUAUUGUUUUAAUCCCUAGUGGGCUUCUCCUGUCACUCAGCAGAGCUCACUCUGUGUCCCUGUAUGAUCCAGCUGUGGACUGGGAGAAUGUAAACUUAUUUUAUUUUCCUUCUCAGGCAGAAAAUAUCUCACACAUACAACUCAGAACACUGUGUUGCUUUAUCUAAAAAGUGUAUACCAAAGCCAAGCAUAUCUUAAACCAGUGACUUUCAUGAUUUUUAUUGUACAUCUUCACAACAAAUCUUUGUUGAAUCCUAAUAUGUGAGAGAAAAGGUGUACAUGUUUUCAUCAGGCUUUAAUUGUUCUGAAGAAAUGCCUUUGUCUAAGGCACCCCUGAAACACUCAUGGGCAGCCUUGGCGUUUCCCAGACCAAAUGAAGACCUCCUUAAGUUUUCCUGGUGUUUCAGGUUGUCCAUACCACUAUGCCAAGCUCUUUGUUAGAAUGAAUAACUCAGAGCUGACACUGCUCUUCCCCAAGGCACGGGGAACAAAUUUUACUUGUAGGUGUCUGCAGCUUCUGUACCUUGCAUAAGACAGCUUCUGCUGUCUUUGCUCAGGCUGCUAUAAUAAAUGCCUUAGACUGGGUGGCUUAAACAACAGACAUUUAUUUCUCACAGUUCUGGAGGCUGGGAAGUCUAAGAUAAAGGUGCCAGCAGAUUUGGUUCUUGGUGAGGGCCCUCUUCCUGGCUUGUAAAGGGCCACCUCUUGCUGUGUCCCCACAUGGUCUUUCCUCCAUACACACAUGUGGAAGGAGAAAGAGAGAGGAAGCAAACUUUUUGGUGUCUCUUUCCAUAAAGGGCACCAAUCCCAUCAUGGGAGCUCCACCCUCAGGACCUCAACUGAACCUAAUUAUCUCCCAAAGGCCCAGCUUCUUAAUACCAUCACAUUGGGGGUUAGGGUUUUAACAUGAAUUUAGUGGAGACGUUAACAUUCAGUUCAUAAUGUCUGCUAUUUGUUUUUUGUGCUUUCCUUCUCACUAUCAAAAAGUAGCCAAGAGAUGUGGCAUUUAGUGUUGUGUGAUCCACACUAUUUUUAUGCUUCUGUUAUAAAACAGAUAGGAGUUAGGAUUAUAUGGGUUAUGAGUAAAAUUUCUUCAGGAAUCCUUUAUAGCAGGUGACAGGAUCAUUCAUUUCUGCUAGCCAAGAGAGAAUGAGGCUCUCUCAGCUUUGAUAAGAACAGCAGACAUCUUACCAGAGAUUGGAGUUAGUCAGUGUGAUGUGUUGGAGGGUGCUUGGGGCAGGAUGGAGGAGGAUCAGCUCAAAUAAACCCUACAGAUGAAGAGUGGAGGUGGGGGCUGAGUCUCCUGAAGAAAAUCAAAACCCUGGUUCCAAAAGAAGGGGUGUAUUGGUCAGGUUUUGCUAGUAUAAUACUGUGUAACAAACAACCCCAACACUCACUGGCUUGCUUAAACAACAAAUGGGUCUUGGUUGGCUGGGUUCAUGUUUGCUUCACAUGUUUUUCUCAUUCUGGGACCCAAGCUGAAGGAACGGGCUCAAUAUGGGACACGUGGAUUUCUGGAAGGGCAGGAGCUCCAGAGAAGUGAGUGGAGACACAUGGAGCCUCUCAAAACCUCUGCUUAGGACUAGCACACCCUCAUGUCAACUCACAACCCAGUGGGGAAAGCAAGUCAUAUGGCCAAGACUAAAGUCAAUGGGACAGGGAGAAGGAAAAGGAGGGAAAAAGGGAGAAUUCUGAACAAAUAAUAUAAUCUACCACAAGAGAAAAUGGAUGUUGGGUAUACAAAAACAACAAAUCUCUUUGUUCCCUCAUAAUUUAACAUUCCAUAAUGUAUAACAGAAUGGGAUGCUGUGGAUGGUUUAAAAAAAUACAGAUGGAUGAGGAAGUAUAAUUAGAUAGGACAGGAAAAAAAUGAGUUUUAGAAUAUAUCAAACUAAAAUAUUUUAGAACACAGCAGAACAAAUAAUAUAUGAAACGUAUGAAUUGAUGGUAUUAAACUUAUGAAUUGAUGAAUUUUGGUAGAAACUCAAAAGCGGUUUGCCUCAGUACUCUGGAGACUGCCUCAAUGUUGAGGGGCAUGCGGGUAGGAGUUGGGAAUAGACAGCCAAAGCCUGAUGGGAAGGCAGCCCACUCAGGUGGCAAAUAUACAUUUGGAAUCAGGAAUUUUGGGAUCCAGUCCCAUACUGACUUCUUCUAGCUCUGUGACCUUGACUAAGUCACUCACCCUCUCUGAGCCUGCAUGAACAUCAGUUUUUACUGAUUUUUACAGUGAAUGCCAAUUUUACCUUAAAACAACAUGUGUUAUGGACUAGGAUUCAACAAAUUUCAUGAACCUCAUUUGAAAGAGUAUUUAAAAUAAUUUUAUAGACUUGCAGGAAGACCCCACUGGGAGUCUGCAUUCUCCCUUUUGCAUUGUUAGAGAACUUUCAGUGGGGACAUUUGAGAAGCAUUGAUUUGGACCAUCUUUUUCGCCCUCAGACUGGUCAUCGAUAGGCCAGAGGUUGGCAAACUGCAGGCCCACCGCCCGUUUCUAUGACUUUCAAGCCGUUUUAAGAUGGAAGAAAGUAAAGCAACAUUUUUGGCAUAUUAUGCUUUAUUAUUUCAAGAAAGGUAAAAACGCAACUGAAACGCAAAGAAAGAUACGUGCAGUGUAUGGAGAAGGUGUUAUGACUGAUCGAACGCGUCAAAAGUGGUCUGUGAAGUUUCGUGCUGGAGAUUUCUCACUGGACGAUGCUCCACAGUCGGGUAGACCAGUUGAAGUUGAUAGCGAUUAAAUCAAGACAUUAACUGAGAACAGUCAACGUUAUACCACGCGGGAGAUAGCCAACAUCCUCAAAAUAUUCGAAUCAAGCGCUGAGAAUCAUUUGCACCAGCUUGGUUACAUGAAUCGCUUUGAUGUUUGGGUUCCACAUAAGUUAAGCAAAAAAAAAACUUCUUGAACAUAUUUCCCCAUGCAAUUCUCUGCUUAAAAGUGAUGAAAACGUUCCGUUUUUAAAACAAAUUGUGACAGGCAAUGAAAAGUGGAUACUGUACAAUAAUGUGGAAUGGAAGAGAUCACGGGGCAAGCGAAAUGAACCGCCAACAACCACACCAAACGCCGGUCUUCAUCCAAAGAAGGUGAUGUUGUGUAUAUGGUGGGAUUGGAAGGGAAUCCUCUAUUAUGAGCUCCUUCCGGAAAACCAAACGAUUAAUUCCAACAAGUACUGCUCCUGAUUAGGCCAACUGAAAGAAGCACUCGACGAAAAGCAUCCAGAAUUAGUCAACAGAAAACGCAUAAUCUUCCAUCAGGGUAACGCAAGACCGCAUGUUUCUUUGAUGACCAGGCAAAAACUGUUACAGCUUGUCUGGGAAGUUCUGAUUCAUCAGCCAUAUUCACUAGACAUUGCACCUUCGGAUUUCCAUUUAUUUUGGUCUUUACAAAAUUCUCUUAAUGGAAAAAAUUUCAAUUCUCUGGAAGACUAUAAAAGGCACCUGGAACAUUUCUGUGCUCAAAAAGAUCAAAAGUUUUGGGAAGAUGGAAUUAUGAAGUUCCUGACAAAAUGGCAGAAGGUAGUGGAACAAAAGGGUGACUACGUUGUUUAAUAAAGUUCUUGGUGAAAAUGAAAAAUGUGUCUUUUAUUUUUACUUAAAAACCGAAGGAACUUUUUGGCCAACCUAAAAGGAGCGAUAACGCCAUGAAGUUUUGUAAAUGAUAUUGUGCGGUACCGAGGCAUGUGAACAAUCACUAGGAGGGAGAAUAACUGAUGGCAUUUGGAAGGAAUUAACACUGAUUCCAAGCUUUAGAUUUUUUAAAUUCACAAUUGAUUGAAAUUUAUUAAUACUUUGUAUUCUCACACUUUGUAUCCCCAAAUCCACAUUGUAGCAUUACAAAGGAAAGGAGAUUAAAACACAGCGAUAAGGUGUCACAACUCAGAAAACUGUGAGUCACUGCUGUCAUUUCCAGGAUGCACACAACUGAGGAACUGUCCUGACCAGCUACUGGUCAAAAUCAUUUCCUACAUAAUAGAAAUCUGACUUGUCCAGAAAGGUACAAAUGGUCUUGGGCCUUUUUUCUUUCAGUGAUGCCCAGAGUGCCUGUGUCAACAGCUGCUUUGGAUUUUAAAUGUGUAGAUCAAGAAACAGGGCACUUUAUCUCUUGUUUUGAUCCUAGAAGGUGUUGGGCAAGACUUUGAAGGAAACUGCAGUCUUUCUUUUCCCACAGCAUCACAGUCACAGAAACCCAGGCAAUGCCCCAUGGGCAGGAGGUCGUGCUGUGCUUUAAUGGCAAAGAUGGGCAAGGGGUGGUUUGGGGAGUUUCAAGACCAACUCCUUGAUGGUGGAAAAAUCUAAUGAAUUGGAGGCUGAUUAUCACUUUUGAAAAAUCCUGAAACUCAAAUGAGAAUAGUGCUUUGAGAGCAGCAGAGGAAGGCCUGGGGCCAUGACCAGGCUUGCCAGAGAUGAUGGUAGCACAGGGGUCUUCAGAGGGAGUAGAAGCUCCCAGGCACAAGCAUAAUAAUUUAAUUCCUUCCCAAGGGUCUAUCUGCAUGGGGGGACAGGCCUUGUUUGGGGAGGCUGGAGCCAAGGGGGGAUUUUGAUGCAAAAUCAAAACAGAUGAAGUUGUGAAAUUUAGGGGUACUCUGAACCCAGGCACUCCUUCUGCCUGGGGUCCAGCACCAAGAUGAGAGGGCAUGCGACCUGACAUUCCUUGUCGCCAUGAGGAAGCCCCUGAACAAGGAAGCCAGAGAACAAAGAACAGGAGGGAAUAAGCCUUCAUGUUUCUGUCUGGAAGGAUCUCCAGUAGGAAAGGGAGAGGGAAGUUCUCUGACUGGCAAGUUUAGGAAUAGAAACUGCAACACUUGGCUCAGCUCCCACCUGCCCUCUCUUUUGGAACCCGCUUGUCCCAAGAACACACGGUCUCUGUUCUCCGUGCUGCGGGUGCCUGCGGUUUUCCAGCUCGGCCCAGGUAGGUAAGUUUAAUCCGGGGCCGAAAUGCCAGCCAGCCCACUGUGCCUGUAGAUGGGAAGAUCAGCCUCCAAUCUAGCUGUUAUCAGUAGUAAGACGAUUAUUUUCAUCUCCACCAGCCUGGCACCUGCUUUCUCUCUCAGCUGUUUCUGAAAUUGGACAGGAAAGAGAGGAGUAAUUUGGUGGGCUGGGGGUUUACCUAGCCAGCUCGUGUAAGACACCGCAAUUGGAAUUCUGAGAAAUAACCAGAGAAGGCUGGGUUUAGGGGCAGUGGAGGUGCAGUACUGAGUACCCCCAUGAGCAUGUAGAGGUUCAACAAUGUCAUUAGUGGGUGUCCAUGGUCAUAGGGCCUCACGGGUACCCACAGGCUGACGAGACUACAGAUGUAACCCAGGAUGGAGGAGAAGAGAAACGCCAUCUACAGGCUGCUGUCAGGAACCAGGCACCGUGGUUUGGAGAAAAUGUCGGCUGCAGCCCACCAAUCUGACUUCAUGAUCCAUGAAUGGUUUGAGAGGCACAGAUUGCUGAAAACUGAUGGGUAGUGGUGGGGCAGACCAUAGGACAGCGGGAUCGCAGCAGCCAGAUGAGGUCGAGUAGGAGAAGCGGCUUCAUAUAAAAGGGAGAGCAUUUGUCUGUGUACGUGUGAGUCAGCGCCCUUCUGAACAUCCCCCUACACUUUCGCAUUGUCUGUCAUCCCACCGAGCACAUUCCCACCUCUGUCACGAAGCUAUCUUCCCCAAAUGCAAUAUUUAAAAGACACUUCUGAACGUCUUAGCUUUGUUUAUCACUGUCUUGAUUUAUCAGCCCACCAGCCAAUGUAUUUCUUGAGGAACCUGCACUGUGUCUGUAGCCAGCUGCUGUACAGUUGGCCCUCAGUGUCUGUGGGUUCUGCCUCUGCAGAUUCAACCAAACACAGAUUGAAAAUAUUUGGGGGAAAAAAUUCCAGAAAGUUCAAAACAGCAAAACUUGAAUUUGCUGUGCACCUAGCAACUAUUUACAUAGUAUUUACAACUACUUACAUAGCAUUUACAUUGUAGUAGUAUUAUAAGUAAUCUAGAGACGAUUUAAAAUAUAUGGGAGAUACAAUGGAAUAUCAUCCGUCAGCCAUAAAAAAGAAUGAAAUAAUGCCAUUUGCAGUGACAUGGAUGGAUCUAGAGAUUAUCAUACUAAGUGAAGUAAGUCAGACAGAAAAGACAAAUAUCAUAUGAUCUCACUUAUAUGUGGAAUCUAAAAAAUGAUACAAAUGAACUUACAAAACAGAAACAGACUCACAGACAUAGAAAACAAACUUAUGGUUACCAAAGGGGAAAGGGAGUGAGGGAUAAAUUAGGAGUUUAGGAUUAAUAGAUAGACACUACUAUAUAUAAAACAGAAAAACAACAAGGCCCUACUGUAUAGCACAGGGAACUAUAUUCAAUAUCUGGUAAUAAACUAUAAUGGAAAAGAAUCUGUAAAAGAAUAUAUAUAUAUAUAUAUAUAUAUAUAUAUAUAUCUCUGAAUCAUUUUACUGUACACCUGAAACUAAUACCACAUUGUAAAUCAACUAUACUUCAAUUAAUAAAUAAGUAAAUCAAUCAAUCGAUCAAUAAGUAAAUUUCAGAAACUGAUUUAAAAAAACAUAUGGGAGGAUGUGCAUAGGUUAUAUGUAAGUACUACACAAAUACCAAUGGACAACUGUACUUACCAUGGGGGGACGUGUGAUAUGUUAAGGGGGUGGGGGCACAGGACAAGAUCCAGAUGCCACCACGGGAAGGCUGGUUUGGCUGGUUGUCCAUGGAUAGCAUCACCUUGGUGAUGGCCUUAGCCUGAGCUGACAGGUUCAGAAAGUGGACCUACACCUCUGAGCACGGCCUCACCACACAAGGCCUCAUAUUUAGCUCUGACAUUGUCGCCAAAUGACCUUAUUCUUACAGGUACAGAGACAGCCUGAUAAAGUUGAAAGUAGAAGGUGUUCAUCACAUAUCCUUAACCGUACAUCCCAUCCUCCAACCACUGCUUAAAGUGCACUCAGAAUUAAUAUUUUUGUAGGUCCUUAAUUAUAUUGUCACUAGCACAAUAAUAUUGCAUUGUUUUGUAUGUUAACAAUUAAAAUGUAAAAUGUUACAAUAUACCACAAGUUUUACACCCUUCUUUUAGCAUUUGUUCAGUUUUUAAUAUACCCAGAACCUCAACAGACAGCAGUGGUCUAUGCCUUUCCCAACUCUGAGAGGCCCCACCCCGAGGGAAGACCAGAUUCUUGGUAACACAGCUUUCCUGAAACAUCUACAAGUGAGUUUGCUUAUAAUGGAGAACAUUCCUUUCUCAGAGUGACUGAAAUGCUUGCCUCUACUGCCCAGAGGACCCCUGUACGUAACCAGGAAGGCAAAUCAACAUUUGAGAAUUUGUUGCUCGGUGGUCAACAAUGAAAGCACAUGAGGUGAAUUUCUUAUCAUGGAGGGUCAUCUCCGGAAAUAACAAAGCGCCCACUCCUCCCAUACAUUUCCCCACGCUACAUUCUGCAGGACAGGCAAGCCAAAGGUGGCCUUUCUCCUUGCGCUCCAUUCCCAUUUACACCCUAUUCUGUCCACACAUCCUUUCUUUGGACAUUAAAGUCCAGCAAAGUAACUGCUCCAGGGGACCUGAAGACAUCUGGUGUUUUUCCCAUCACAUGUGGAUUUAACCUUUUUGGUUUAAUUUUCUGAGAGAAAACUCACUUCCAAGCCCCGGAGUGAACCUCUCUGCAGGCUCCACACACUCCCAAUGUGCAUGGUACAAAGUAGACACUGUGCCUGACCUUGAGGAUUUACCAAAUUAAAAUGGCAGUUUAAGCCAAGAAGCCUGUCCUAAACAGAUAACUUGGAAGCAGCAUGGUUUGGUGGAGAGAACCAUGAUUUAACAGCAUAGACUCUCAUUCCAACCCUGUCGUGUGAUUCUGGGAAAGACACUUACAUUCUUGUAUUGAAAAUGGUAGGCCUGAGGUGGGAGGUGGUUCAGAAAAACCUCUCAUGACUGAAACCCACUCAUUCAUUGAUUCGUUCAUUCAUUCAUCAUAUAGGAAUUAGCACCUCCUGUGUAUCAGAGAAUGCCUCACAACCAAAUGGCAAGAUAAGUAACACAUGAUUCCUGCCUUCAAGGAACUUUCAAUCUAUAACUUACAGCUCUAAAAUCUCGCUCUUCAAAAUACAAUGAUAAUCAGAAAACUUAUUAGCACAGGGUGGUCAACCAUCUUAAUAAGGCCACAUGCUACAUGGGAAGGUCUCCCACAGUGCAGUCAGAUGGUCCUAGGUUCAAGUUCAAUUCCAUGACCUUGGGCAAGUUCCCUUAUCCCUUCCAGUCUCCAUUUCCUUGUCCCUAGAAUGGGCAUAAUAAGAUCUGCUUUGAAGUGUUGGGAGGAUUAGAGAUAAAAUAUACAAAGUAUCCCACACAUAGUUAGCAUUUAAUAAACCACCCUCCCACUUCCACUCUUAACCCUCAACAUCCAUUCUCCAAGAAGCUAGAUCGUCCUCUUAAAAAUGUAAAUCACGUCAUAUCAUUUAGUAUCCUUCCAUGUGCCCCCUCAAAUUAAUAGAUUCCUGACUCUGUAUUGUGGCCUACGGGCCAUGAUCUGGCCUCUGCCUUCUCCCUGCUCUGUCUCCUUCCUAUCCCCUCACUGCUCCCUCCAAGAGACCACAUACCUCCUCUCUGUUUUCUCAAAUAAGAUAAGUUUGUCCCCACCUCGGGGCCUUUGCUCUCUGCAUUUUCUGAAGAGUUAUUAGUUUCUCACCAAUCAGGUAUCAGCUCAAAUGCCACAUUGUCAAAGAGGCGCUUCCUGGCCAUACAUCUCCCAGUUCAGUCCCUCUGUCACAUUUUCUAGUUUACUUUUAUACCACCAGCCUCUAAUUUUCUUGUUUAUUUCCUUGUGUAUUGUCUGCCCUACCUCCCUCAAGAAUGUAAAUUCCCCAGAGGUAGAUUCCUUGUGUCUCUUAUUCACUAUAUCCCCAAAACUGAGGCAGUGCCUGGCAUAUAACAGGUGCUUGAAAAACAUGCUUUGAAUUUAUGUUGUAAAAAUUACCAUUAUCAUCUCGUGGUUGGAAUUUAUCUUCCACAGAUAACGUCUGCAUCUUGAGCCAAAAGAGGGAACUAGUUUCAUGUCUGAAACACAAAGCUGAGAAGAACGUGUGGAAAACUCAGGAAUCAGGAGGAAGGAGGGUAUGAGCUCUGAGAGGCCUUUCAAUGCAAUAUAUAUAAAGAGUUCUGGAUUUGGAGUAAGAAGUCUGAAUUCUAGGCCUAAUUUUACCAGGAGCUACCUCUAUUCCUUAACUUCUCAGGCCUUCAUUUCUUCAUAUGUGUAAGAAAGAAAAGGUUGAACUAACUAGGCCCUUCCAUGCCUUCAGAACAGGGCCACUUUGGGAAGCCCAGAAGCAUACGCAUGAGAUGCUAAAGGAAAGCAGCUGAGAAGGGGGUGAUGCGUGAGCCCCUCUCCGUGCAGAACCACUCAGAUCCUGUGACUGAUCCACUCCAUGGCCAGACUGUCCCUCACCACACUGCUUCCCAGGCAGGGCCUGGUGGACGGCUGCUGCUCACAAGGUAUUGGCUGAAUGAAGGAAUGUCCUCUGGAACCACAGGGAGGAGGAAGUGACAACUCAGUGACUCAGAAGAAAGGACCACUGAGUCACCAAGCCACUUCCUGUCUUGCUCAGUGUCCUUCCAUGGUGGGAAGGUGGCAAACAGCUCAAGCUCUAGUGGGUCCAGAUGCAAUGACGUUGCAAAGCG